Coccinella septempunctata (seven-spotted ladybird) is the source of this 955-nucleotide long non-coding RNA. RefSeq lists it as uncharacterized. The transcript has 6 exons. Lineage: Eukaryota; Metazoa; Arthropoda; Insecta; Coleoptera; Coccinellidae. The record is from RefSeq and is a predicted model, not a curated record.
UCUUUGGUUGGAGGUUAUGUUAUGAAUGUUUCUUGCUCUGUGGUCUUAGGAGAUACGCAAAAAAAUUCAAAACUUUGAUUCAAAAGAAUUUCAAAUUUAGCUGACUGUAUCAUCAGUAACAGAGACACAUAUGAAUCGUUCUGAUGAGGUUGCAACUGCUAAUCGUCUAUAUGGUGGAAGAAUUCUACAAUAGACACUGGAGAGGCGUUUAUUUCACUAUUGAAACGGAAUCAAAUGAUAUUAAUAAAAUUGCAUCCAUUGGUACAACUUUCAACCAACGCAAAUGGUAGAUUCCUUGUAUAGGUCCUCCUCGAUUUUUUAGAGUCGAAAUUAAAAUUUAUUCUUGGAUCUUAGUUACCUUCUUCAAAGAACGCUAAUGCGCCUGCGCGUCCACCUUAUUGCGAUACGAGAUUCAAAAACAGUUGCCAUAAAAUAGUUAGCUUUGGGCGGACAUUUGCAAUUUCUCGAAUUCUGCAGUGAUUUCCUACGAGUUUCCACGAUUUUCAAUGAAUUUCCAACAAAAUGUAAGUUGAAAACAAUAUAUUUUCAUUUUAACAUCAUUAUUUCAACAAAAAUUACAUCUUGCAAGUUUCACAGUUGGUUAUUGCAAAAUAUCCCAAACACAAUUCUCCACUUUCUGAUAUCGAUUUGAUUCUAUUCAUUGGUUAUUUCUUUCAGACAAAAAAAAAAUAAAUUCCAGAUUAUCGGCAAACCAGAACUUUCCCCAGGAAAUUAUUUCAGGAUGGCUUGCAAUGAAAACAGGGAUGGGGAUUUCUAAAACUCGUUGAGCUAAUUUUAUUGCAGAAGCCUGAGAGAAAAUAAUUAAGUCUACAUGAACAAAAUCAACUAUAUAUACUUAUAAUGAAAAACAAUAUAUUCCAGAUUAUCGGCAAACCAGAACUUUCCACAAAAAAUUAUUUCAGGGUGGCUUGCAGCGAAAACAGGGAUGAGGAUU